AUGCUCUGAUUUCUCUUCAGAUCACACAAAAUCUUUUGCCUUUUACUAGAGAUUUACAUGGAGAGGAACAAAUCUGAGUUUCAGCUCAAUUUUUGAGACACUAUUACGC
RNAcentral lists this small nuclear RNA (109 nucleotides) under Erinaceus europaeus (western European hedgehog). RNAcentral's name for it is "U5 spliceosomal RNA". It matches the Rfam family "U5 spliceosomal RNA". Rfam says of the family: U5 RNA is a component of both types of known spliceosome. The precise function of this molecule is unknown, though it is known that the 5' loop is required for splice site selection and p220 binding, and that both the 3' stem-loop and the Sm site are important for Sm protein binding and cap methylation. The record is from Rfam by way of RNAcentral. Lineage: Eukaryota; Metazoa; Chordata; Mammalia; Eulipotyphla; Erinaceidae.